GGGCGGGUUUGGUUAUGGCCUUCGUGAAUUUGAGAGGGCGACAGUUGGUUUCGUUGGCGAUCAUCGGCUUGAUGGAAGCAUUUUCCAUCGAAACGGCCUUUAUAAAGGAUUGGUUGGCAUGUGCUCUUAUUGGGAUUUCCAUCCUUCCUAACGCCCGUGUAUGCUAGAGUUGUGAAGCCUUCUGUAACGGUUGACGCUGGAUGGAUGAGUUUGUGGAAACUGUACCACGCAGUAAUGUGGAAAGUGACCCUGUAGAGUGUAUACCACGCAGUAAGCUGUAUCUGAAGUUUUCGCUACUGAUGUGGGAACUUGGGUAGGUGGUUCAACACGCGGACUGAACACCAAACCACGAAGGUGCUUAUCGACUGUUGAUGUUUAGACAUAUUUUGAACAGCAAUGUAGACCUAGUUCUUGUAAACCCUGCGUAAGAAUUAUAUUAAACUGCAUAUUCCAACUUUAAACAUACCCAGACAUAAUUUAAGAGUUGUACUAACUUUUACCCUUAAUGGGAUCCAUCUAAUAUAUACAGUGUUAUUUGAACAGCAAUGUAGCCCUAGUUCUUGCAUAACACGGCGUAAGAAUUAUUAAAGUGUUAUUCCCAACUUUCUAUAUAUAAAAAGACAAUUUGA
Molecule: long non-coding RNA, 629 nt
Organism: Macrobrachium nipponense
Lineage: Eukaryota; Metazoa; Arthropoda; Malacostraca; Decapoda; Palaemonidae
Exons: 3
Source: RefSeq, a predicted model, not a curated record